AUCCAGCUGACGAGUUUGAAAUAGGACGAAACACGCGUCCUGGAC
RNAcentral lists this non-coding RNA (45 nucleotides) under Schistosoma margrebowiei. Lineage: Eukaryota; Metazoa; Platyhelminthes; Trematoda; Strigeidida; Schistosomatidae. The record is from RNAcentral.